UAGUAUUCAGUCAAAACUGGAUCGACGUAGGCUACGCAACAACAACACUUGCAAGCAUCUAGUAGGACAGUGUGAUGGAUUUGGACACAUCUGGAAGGGGUUUUGAGGAGGAUGUGGCAACCCAGCUGAUGAUCGAGAGUCUCCGAGAACAAGGGUUGGUCACGAGCCUUUUCUCCGGUGAAUCCUGCAGAAUCAUUCAGAUCACCCCUGAGAGAGAGAAGAUAUUCAGUGCAAUAAAGCAUGGUGAUGAACAGUCCCUCCGUGAGCUGACUGUCCAUCAGCAAGCUUUCUUUGAAGAAGACGACACAGACUACAUCCCUUUACACGAGGCUGCCAUACAGAACAACCAGAACAUCCUUGAGAUCACAUUUACCGCGUCUCCCGAGGAUGCCAAGCACAGAAAGACUCGUCAGGGCAAGACGGCGCUCUUCUUAGCAGUGGAGAAAGGGCUUUUGGACAACGCUUGUUUCUUGCUGGACCACGGCAGCAGUCCAGACACCCUGGAUGAAGACGAAGACUCGCCUCUCGUUGUAGCCAUAAGGAACAACCACUAUGGCAUGGCAAAGCUCCUGCUAAACUUCAGUGCCAGAGUUAACCAGGAGGGGGCGAACCACAGGACGGCCCUGCAUGAAGCCGCCCAGCUCGGCCUGAUGGAUUUCGUGGAUCUGCUGUUGAAGUACGGAGCUCAUCCCGACCCCAGAAGCUCUUAUGGCCUGACGCCGUUAGCAUUAGCUGCACAGGCCGGACACCUGGAGAUCAUCCGAACACUUCUCCGGAGAGGUGCUGAUGUGAAGUCUCAGGCUCAGGGUUGUGCAACAGUCCUAUUUGAGGCAUCUGCUUCAGGAAAACCUGACGUCAUCUCCUUACUUUUGGAGUACGGCGCUGACGCCAACAUAACAACACCCAAACACACGGGACACCUGCCCAUCCACAGAGUGGCCCACCGCGGACAUGUCAAGGCUCUGGCUCUGCUGAUACCGGUGACGUCGUUGGAUGCAGUGGAUGACAGUGGGAUCAGUCCUCUUCACUUGGCUGCGGCAGGUGGACACUCUCAGUGUCUGGAAAUGCUGCUAAAAGCCAAUUAUGACCCUAACUUCAUGCUGCACCCAUGGGUGCGCCGCAGCUACGACGAUAAGCGCCAGUCUGCGCUCUACUUCGCCGUCUCCAAUGAAGACAUCGCCUCCACCCGAGUCCUGCUGGAAGCUGGAGCCAUGCCCAACCAGGACCCUGUCAAGUGCCUGCAGGUGGCGCUGCGGCUGGGAAACCACGAGCUGAUCAACCUGCUGCUUCGCUACGGAGCCAACGUCAAUUACUACUGCAGAGUGAACACCACGCACUUCCCGUCGGCCUUACAGUACGCCCUGAAGGACGAGGUGGUGCUGCGGAUGCUGUGUAACUACGGUUACAACGUGGAGCGAUGCUUUGACGGUCCAUAUGGGGAGGGAUCACACGUCCCACACGGAUACGAGGGAUGGAGUGACACCGUCAUUAAAGAUACGCUGUUCUGUGAGGUCAUCUCUGUCUCGUGGCUCAAACAUCUCUCAGGAAACAUGGUUCGCAUCAUGCUAGAUUACGUCGAUCAUGUGACCUUUUGCUCCAAACUGAAGGCUGCACUCAUGGAGCAGAAACAGUGGCCUGAAAUCUGCAAAAUUCAAGACAUUAAAUCUCUCUCAAGUGGAUGCACUACCCCACCAAAACUACCUCCAUCUACAGCAUCCUCAGAAUGAACAAGUAACGACUUCUCCACGGUUACCUCACUGUCAGGAUGUAGAUCAAGUUCACCUUCACAUGGUCGGUCAACUUUAAGUUGUUUUCCUCUGGCUCGGGUGACAGCACAGGAAGGAAACACAUGGGGAAAUCUCUUCCCACAUUCAUCAGGAACGUCUGCAGACAUGGGUGUGGAAACAACAACAGCAGAUGGUACAGAUUUUGAUGUACCCCAGACAUUUCCUCGAGCAAGAUCGUUCCCCAGGAUAAAAGAAACCCCUGGCACAGGAAGGGAAGACCGUACUCCAACAAUUACAUCACCAGUCACAAGAUCAGAGAGAAAGUCCGCUGUCUGCAGCAUCUCUGUCGGCUGAAGAUCAGGGCUUGUUUGGGUCGGUUGCGUUUGAGAGCUCCGAUCUUCAUGAGCUUCCUUCCAUUACCAGAACGACUGAAGCAAUACAUCCUGUACAAAGAAUAUGAUCUCUACGCUCAGAAAUGACAAAACAAAGCAAAUAAACCAGAAUUCACACCUGUAGAAACACCUGCACCUGUUAUGUGCACAUUUUUUAAAUACAGUUAAUAUGUAACACAAAGAGUCUUAAUGUUAACGAAUAUGUAAAGGACUCAAUAAUUUAUUCAAUGAAAUAAAUGUUUUAAUAAAAUAUAGCCAUUGAUGCAUUUGUUUAUGAACAAAAGUCUUUUUUGGAAGCAUAUUUGUGCAAAGAAAUACUCUGUUUGUUUUCUAACUGCUUGUUUUCUUUUAAAAAUGCCCCUAACACUAGCUUUCUCUAUUCUUUUCCUAUUCUAUCUACUUGUUUUAUCUAGGCUAUGUGUAUUAAGCGAUAGUGACGGCUCUGUGUAGUAGCGCUCCAUUUGAACUUCGGAGCAUCGCGAAUCAUUGAUUCAGAUCGGGACUUCGGAGCAUCGCGAAUCUUUGAUUCAGAUCGGGACU
Carassius auratus (goldfish) is the source of this 2659-nucleotide RNA transcript. It is a transcript of the gene named ankyrin repeat and SOCS box protein 14-like, with no coding region annotated. Lineage: Eukaryota; Metazoa; Chordata; Actinopteri; Cypriniformes; Cyprinidae. The record is from RefSeq and is a predicted model, not a curated record. The transcript has 11 exons.